Molecule: ribosomal RNA, 821 nt
Filed under: Cryptosporidium sp. deer genotype
Lineage: Eukaryota; Apicomplexa; Conoidasida; Eucoccidiorida; Cryptosporidiidae
Description: SSU rRNA
Rfam family: Eukaryotic small subunit ribosomal RNA
Source: RNAcentral
GGAAGGGUUGUAUUAUUAGAUAAAGAACCAAUAUUUUUGGUGACUCAUAAUAACUUUACGGAUCACAUUAUGUGACAUAUCAUUCAAGUUUCUGACCUAUCAGCUUUAGACGGUAGGGUAUUGGCCUACCGUGGCUAUGACGGGUAACGGGGAAUUAGGGUUCGAUUCCGGAGAGGGAGCCUGAGAAACGGCUACCACAUCUAAGGAAGGCAGCAGGCGCGCAAAUUACCCAAUCCUAAUACAGGGAGGUAGUGACAAGAAAUAACAAUACAGGACCUUACGGUUUUGUAAUUGGAAUGAGUUAAGUAUAAACCCCUUAACAAGUAUCAAUUGGAGGGCAAGUCUGGUGCCAGCAGCCGCGGUAAUUCCAGCUCCAAUAGCGUAUAUUAAAGUUGUUGCAGUUAAAAAGCUCGUAGUUAAUUUUCUGUUAAUUUUUAUAUACAAUACUACGGUAUUUAUAUAAUAUUAACAUAAUUCAUAUUACUUUUUAGUAUAUGAAACUUUACUUUGAGAAAAUUAGAGUGCUUAAAGCAGGCUAUUGCCUUGAAUACUCCAGCAUGGAAUAAUAUUAAGGAUUUUUAUUCUUCUUAUUGGUUCUAGAAUAAAAAUAAUGAUUAAUAGGGACAGUUGGGGGCAUUUGUAUUUAACAGUCAGAGGUGAAAUUCUUAGAUUUGUUAAAGACAAACUACUGCGAAAGCAUUUGCCAAGGAUGUUUUCAUUAAUCAAGAACGAAAGUUAGGGGAUCGAAGACGAUCAGAUACCGUCGUAGUCUUAACCAUAAACUAUGCCAACUAGAGAUUGGAGGUUGUUCCUUACUCCUU